This 257-nucleotide ribosomal RNA is filed under the name uncultured bacterium. RNAcentral describes it as "partial 16S ribosomal RNA". It matches the Rfam family "Bacterial small subunit ribosomal RNA", at positions 524 to 778 of the family's 1533-position model. The record is from RNAcentral.
GACGAGGGAUCCUAGCGUUGUUCGGAAUCAUUGGGCGUAAAGCGGGUGCAGGUGGCUAUGUAAGUCAGGUGUGAAAGCCUAGGGCUCAACCCUAGAAGUGCAUUUGAUACUGCGUAGCUUGAGUGGUAGAGAGGAUAGUAGAAUUCUUGGUGUAGUGGUGAAAUACGUAGAUAUCAAGAGGAAUACCGGAGGCGAAGGCGGCUACGUCUGGCUACACACUGACACUCAGACCCGAAAGUGCGGGGAUCAAACCAGGA